GUGAUAUUUCAUUCUUUUUUAUUCAGGGACCGGGUGGUAUUACUAUCAAAAAGACUAAUAUGGCUAUACUUAUUGGAAUCUAUGAUGAGCCAAUGACUCCUGGACAGUGUAACCUGGUUGUCGAGAGGCUCGGCGAUUAUCUCCUUGAACAAGGUUUUUAAUUUACUGAAUUUUCAUUCAUAUGUUUGUAUUGAAGUUGUGGUGUUUGCUGAUAAUGAAUGGAUACUCAAGAAUUGGAAAGUGGUAGAUAUGAUUACUUUCUGGAUUCAAACAGUUCUCUUUGUAUUUUGGUUUUGCAAGAAUUGAUUUAAAUUAUUUUAAAGUGAGACACUCGAUUAUUUUUGAGUGGAAUGUUAUUGGUACUUAUUCUUAAAAAUGGAUUUCACUUUUUGGUUUGUGUAAUAUACAGCUGCUGGAUUUCAUCU
Nicotiana attenuata is the source of this 425-nucleotide long non-coding RNA. RefSeq lists it as uncharacterized. The record is from RefSeq and is a predicted model, not a curated record. Lineage: Eukaryota; Viridiplantae; Streptophyta; Magnoliopsida; Solanales; Solanaceae. The transcript is spliced from 2 exons.